GACGAACGCUGGCGGCGUGCCUAAUACAUGCAAGUCGAACGCACAGUUUAUACCGUAGCUUGCUACACCAUAAACUGUGAGUUGCGAACGGGUGAGUCACGCGUAGGUAACCUGCCUGGUAGCGGGGGAUAACUAUUGGAAACGAUAGCUAAUACCUCAUAAUAUUAAUUAUUGCAUGGUAAUUGAUUGAAAGAUGCAAUUGCAUCACUACCAGCUGGCUCUGCGUUGUAUUAGCUAGUAGGUGAGGUAACGGCUCACCUAGGCGACGAUACAUAGCCGACCUGAGCGGGUGAUCGGCCACACUGGGACUGAGACACGGCCCAGACUCCUACGGGAGGCAGCAGUAGGGAAUCUUCGGCAAUGGACGAAAGUCUGACCGAGAAACGCCGCGUGAGUGAAGAAGGUUUUCGGAUCGUAAAGCUCUGUUGUAAGAGAAGAACGGGUGUGAGAGUGGAAAGUUCACACUGUGACGGUAUCUUACAAGAAAGGGACGGCUAACUACGG
RNAcentral lists this ribosomal RNA (504 nucleotides) under uncultured bacterium. Its description in RNAcentral is "partial 16S ribosomal RNA". It matches the Rfam family "Bacterial small subunit ribosomal RNA", at positions 28 to 506 of the family's 1533-position model. The record is from RNAcentral.